GGGGGUGAAACGGGUUCGACGGGGAUAUAAAAGCUCAGGUUGCAUGCCGAGAAUUCUAUCUUUCUCGUAAACAUUGAUAGAACGCUAAAUAUAGUCGCAGAUGACUAUGCAUAUGCUGUGGCAGCAUAAAUAAGCCACUGCUCCUUCCGGUUAUUCCUGCGGACCGGUCUGGGGCAUCGACUAGCGGGAUAGCCCCUGAUUUCUCGGGUGGAUCAACGGGCGAAACAAAACACCUGAUAGUGCCGAAACCUCCUCGUCCCGGUGGAGAUGAGGCACGAUAAGCCUUGAAGCGGGAAUAAGCAUGUAGACGCCUGCAGGGGAGUAUUUCCGGACGGGGGUUCAACUCCCCCCACCUCCACCA
Molecule: transfer-messenger RNA, 361 nt
Filed under: Desulfobulbaceae bacterium
Lineage: Bacteria; Pseudomonadati; Thermodesulfobacteriota; Desulfobulbia; Desulfobulbales; Desulfobulbaceae
Also listed under: 1 other name
Rfam family: transfer-messenger RNA
About the family: Bacterial tmRNA, also known as 10Sa RNA or SsrA, is named for its dual tRNA and mRNA-like properties.
Source: RNAcentral